RNAcentral lists this ribosomal RNA (156 nucleotides) under uncultured bacterium. Its description in RNAcentral is "partial 16S ribosomal RNA". It matches the Rfam family "Bacterial small subunit ribosomal RNA", at positions 355 to 508 of the family's 1533-position model. The record is from RNAcentral.
UGAGGAAUAUUGGACAAUGGGCGCAAGCCUGAUCCAGCCAUGCCGCGUGCAGGAAGACGCAUCUAUGGUGUGUAAACUGCUUUUGUACGGGAAGAAACACUCCUACGUGUAGGAGCUUGACGGUACCGUAAGAAUAAGGAUCGGCUAAGUCCGUGC